RNAcentral lists this long non-coding RNA (220 nucleotides) under Lathyrus oleraceus (garden pea). RNAcentral describes it as "Pisum sativum (pea) long non-coding RNA (PSAT_LNC010237)". The record is from RNAcentral. Lineage: Eukaryota; Viridiplantae; Streptophyta; Magnoliopsida; Fabales; Fabaceae.
UUAAAUAAAAAUAAUAAUAAAUAAAGGGAAGAUAGGUAUAGCAAGCAAAUAGAGGGGGUAUGAGUCAAGUAAUCUGGAAGGCCCUGAUCUCAACCCUAUCAACACAAAUAAAAAUAAUUAAAAAAUAAGCAAACAGAAAGGGGUAACACAUAGUGAAUAGGGGGUGAGGACAGAGAAAUAUCUUAGGCCUAAGGCCCAAUUUACCAAACAAACUCCAUAC